ACACGUGGAUGACCUAUCCCUUGAGAUGGGGAUAAACCCGGGAAACUGGGUAUAAUACCCAAUAGAUCUCGACUGCUGGAAUGCAUCGAGAUCCAAAGCUCCGGCGCUCAAGGAUGGAUCUGCGGCCUAUCAGGUAGUAGUGGGUGUAGCGUACCUACUAGCCUACGACGGGUAUCGGGUUGUGAGAGGCAAGAUGCCCGGAGAUGGAUUCUGAGACACGAAUCCAGGCCCUAUCGGGGUGCAGCAGGCGCGAAAACUUUACAAUGCUGGAAACAGCGAUAAGGGGACCUCGAGUGCCAGGUUACAAAUCUGGCUGUCGUGAUGCCUAAAAAGCAUUGCAUAGCAAGGGCCGGGCAAGACCGGUGCCAGCCGCCGCGGUAACACCGGCGGCUCGAGUGGUAACCGUUAUUAUUGGGUCUAAAGGGUCUGUAGCCGGCCCGGAUAAGUCUCUUGGGAAAUCUGGCAGCUUAACUGUCAGGCUUUCAGGAGAUACUGUCUGGCUCGAGGCCGGGAGAGGUGAGAGGUACUUCAGGGGUAGGGGUGAAAUCUUGUAAUCCUUGAAGGACCACCAGUGGCGAAGGCGUCUCACCAGAACGGACCUGACGGCAAGGGACGAAAGCUAGGGGCACGAACCGGAUUAGAUACCCGGGUAGUCCUAGCCGUAAACGAUACUCGCUAGGUGCCGGCAACGGUGCGACCGUUGUUGGUGCC
Molecule: ribosomal RNA, 711 nt
Filed under: uncultured euryarchaeote
Lineage: Archaea; Methanobacteriati; Methanobacteriota
Description: bacterial SSU rRNA
Rfam family: Archaeal small subunit ribosomal RNA
Source: RNAcentral